CUCAAAUAUUCGUGGUCUUCAUGCUCCAUCUCAAGAUGCAGACAAUGUCCAGAUUUUGAUGGUCAUCCUUCGUUUCUAAAGCCCUCAGAUUGGUCUAAAGGUGGAGGACUACAAGGGCUUGUCGGUUUGCAAAGCGUUGGUUCUUGAGAUGAGCUUAUGUGGAUCAUCUGGGAAGCUCAGGGAUGGAGCAGCAAUUCAAGGAGAUCUGGUUUGAAGUUUGGGAAGGCUUCAUUUGAUCUCUGGACUGCUUUGAUGUACGUUGAUGAAUAAGAGCACCCAUCCAAGAUACUAAGGGUUUGUUAUUUCCACCUUGAUUCCCAUUUUCUAGGGUAUCAACCAUCAUGUUGGUUAAUUGGUCGGCAAGAUAUGGCGUUUAUUGCUUCAGGUCCAAUUAAAAUGCUUCAGGUCCGACUAAAAUGUUUAUUGCUGCCAGUGGUCUCCUUAUUUUCUGAGAGAGAUACAGGAUUCUUGGGAGAAUGGCUCAUGUUUAUGACUGCCAGUGAUCUCCUUAUUUCAGAGAAUGUGCAUAAAGCUUCCGGCCUUCCCUAUAUA
This is a non-coding RNA of Lolium perenne, 552 nucleotides long. Lineage: Eukaryota; Viridiplantae; Streptophyta; Magnoliopsida; Poales; Poaceae. The record is from RefSeq and is a predicted model, not a curated record.